GAUGAACGCUAGCUACAGGCUUAACACAUGCCAGUCGAGGGGAAACGACAUCGCAAGCUUGCUUUUGAUGGGCGUCGACCGGCGCACGGGUGAGUAACGCGUAUCCCACCUGCCCAUCACUUGGGAAUAACCUUGCGAAAGUAAGACUAAUACCCAAUGACAUCCCACGAAGACAUCUGAAUGGGAUUAAAGAUUUAUCGGUGAUGGAUGGGGAUGCGUCUGAUUAGCUUGUUGGCGGGGUAACGGCCCACCAAGGCAACGAUCAGUAGGGGUUCUGAGAGGAAGGUCCCCCACAUUGGAACUGAGACACGGUCCAAACUCCUACGGGAGGCAGCAGUGAGGAAGAUUGGUCAAUGGGAGAGAGCCUGAACCAGCCAAGUAGCGUGCAGGAUGACGGCCCUAUGGGUUGUAAACUGCUUUUAGAAGGGAAUAAAGUGGGUCUCGUGAGACUUUUUGCAUGUACCUUAUGAAUAAGGACCGGCUAAUUCCGUG
Molecule: ribosomal RNA, 492 nt
Filed under: uncultured bacterium
Lineage: Bacteria
Description: partial 16S ribosomal RNA
Rfam family: Bacterial small subunit ribosomal RNA
Source: RNAcentral